CCCCACUUUAAAGAGAACGAAACAGAGGCAGGAUGGGGAAGCCUCUUGUUAAGGAGUCCACACUCAGUACACUGCAAAGCAGGUACCCUGAGUGCCGGCUCCUCCAUCCAAACCCAAUGGCUAGACUUUCCCAUGUGUAGACUACAGCUGGAAAGGAUCUUGGAGGACACAUUUUAGGUCAACCUUCUCGGUGCGAAGACCCCCGACAGGCGAAGCGAUCUGCCCAGGGGUAGGCGGCGAGCGCGUGACAGGCUGCGAGGGGAACCUGAGACGCCCCAGUUUCUCCCUUCCCUUGCUGGCCUCUUGCUCACCCGCAGGGUGCGGGGGAGGCUGGAGGAGGAGCUGAGCAGAAUUGCGGCGGCGGCCGGGGGCCGGGGCUUUUGGGGCGGUCCCUGGCGGCCGCUUGUCCCAGAGCCCUUGGAGGGGAGCGCGCGCGUGCUGGCCUCUCCUGCGCGCUCCCGCCUCCCCGGGGCUCCGAGGAACCCGGGCACGUUCCGGACGGAGACUGCAGAGCUGGGGGUUGCUUCCCGCUGCCAGAGGCCGUGCCGUCCCUGGGACGUGGAGAAGCGCUCGAGCCGUCUCCGCCCCAGGAACUUUCCGCAGACUCAGCGCGAUCUGUCUGCGGAGGGAACCCCAGGUUUUAAAGGCAGUUCUACGAAACCGAGCACAGAUCAUGAAGAUCCGUGGAGAAAGGCACCCAAAUCAGGUCAGAAUCAGGAGACCCCACAUCAUCCCUGAGAUCUUUAAGGUCAUCUCUUCUGAUUAUGCUUAGAGGGG
RNAcentral lists this long non-coding RNA (777 nucleotides) under Equus caballus (horse). RNAcentral's name for it is "lncRNA (ENSECAG00000054242.1)". Lineage: Eukaryota; Metazoa; Chordata; Mammalia; Perissodactyla; Equidae. The record is from RNAcentral.